AUUGAACGCUGGCGGCAGGCCUAAUACAUGCAAGUCGAGCGGAAGAAGGGAGCUUGCUCCUGGAUUCAGCGGCCGACGGGUGAGUAAUGCCUAGGAAUCUGCCUGGUAGUGGGGAUAACGUCCGGAAACGGGCGCCAAAACCGCAUACGUACUGAGGGAGAAAGCGGAGGAUUUUAUGACGUCACGCUAUCAGAUGAGCCUAGGUCGGAUUAGCUAGUUGGUGGGGUAAAGGCGUACCAAGGCGACGAUCCGUAACUGAUCUGAGAGGAUGAUCAGUCACACUGGAACUGAGACACGGUCCAAACUCCUACGGGAGGCAGCAGUGGGGAAUAUUGGACAAUGGGCGAAAGCCUGAUCCAGCCAUGCCGCGUGUGUGAAGAAGGUCUUCGGAUUGUAAAGCACUUUUAGUUGGGAAGAAGGUCAGUAAGUUAAUACCUUGCUGUUUUGACGUUACCAACAGAAAAAGCACCGGCUAACUUCGUG
Molecule: ribosomal RNA, 483 nt
Filed under: uncultured bacterium
Lineage: Bacteria
Description: partial 16S ribosomal RNA
Rfam family: Bacterial small subunit ribosomal RNA
Source: RNAcentral